AUAGAAGCCUCCUCCAGUGAAGCAGCAGCCCCGGCACUGGGCCUGCAGUGGAGAACGGGAAUGAGAGAACCCCCUGGAGUGGGCUGGAGAGGAUGCAGUGCACGGAGAGCACCUGGGGCAGGGCCGGCGCCCAUGGCAUAAGACGUGCUGCUGCUCCUCUCCCGCGGGGCCCAUGGAGAUGGCUGGAAGCAGCCCAACGUCAGGGCAGGUGAAUGGCAUGAGCACGCAUGCUGGGCAUAGCCGGGUACAACUAUGAGGAGGCAUGAACAGCUAUAAGUGCCGCUUGGUGACAGGUGGCCUAGCUGGAAUCCCGGCUCUGCCAGCCACAAGCUGUGGGACUGUGGGCCAGUGGCCCCAUCUCUCUGUGCCCCACCUUAUUCACCUGUACAACAGGAUGAUACUGACAGUACCUGUGUCUCGGCUGUUAUGAAGGUGAAAGGAACACAUCCAAGGGCUGUUCCCAGAGGCCGUGAAUUCUUUGGUACUUUUGGCUUCUGCCCAGGCAGCAAAGGAGUUGCAGGUAGCCACAGAAGGCUGCCAGAUCCCUACCUUGACACUCACAUAAGAGAAGAGUGAAGUUUCGGGGACUCCACACCUCAAGGUAGUUCCACCGCGCGAGGUGCUGAGCUCACAGUAUUACUCAUGCACCUUUCUGAUAAGAAAAGUGAAAACGUGAAGUUGAAAACUGAAGACGCCCAGCAACUUCCUGAAUCCAGCUCUCCACGUCCUGCCCUACGGGACAGACGACUCCCAAAGAGGAAUCAUUGGUGGAAGUCCCAUGUUUCGUUGGCGUUGGAAGGGGGAACUGGUCAAGGGCUCAUCUCUGGACCCACACCCCAUAACCAACAUGGAAGCCUGGAUUUGGCCCUGGAUCAGGCUGACUCCCCAGGGAAGGGUCCAGUCUCUCCGGGGAGACAUCCCGACUUCGGGUCCUGCUUUCUCUACUAUAAUUCGAGGCCAGCCAUGCCCCUCAGUGGGCCUCAGUUUCCUCACCUGUACAGUGGGGAAAUCCAUAGGACCUACCUUCUGGGAGGGCACUGAGGACCAAGGGAAUGAAUGCCUGUCCAGUGCUCAUGAUCGUGACAAGCACGGCGCAGAAUCAAUCCGGAAUAAAUGCUUACUGGUGAGCGAUGGCAGGGAAGGUUUCUAAAAACCCCCUGAUUUGAGAUGAGAUCUGAUUCACCCACUUAAAAAACCAUAUUGGGAAAUAAUUCGAAAUGUACAGGAAAGUUAUAAGAAUCGCACAAAGAAUACUCCCAAACGUUUUGCCCAGAUUCACCUGUUUUCUACGGCAACUUUGAGGUAGAAUUCACACGCCAUACAGUUGACCCAUCUCAAGUGUACAAUUCAAUGGCCUUUCAUAGUCAGAGUUGUGCAACUGUCACCAGAGUCAAUUUUAGAACGUUUUCAUCACUCUCCUCCCACAAAAAAACCCCUCACAUCCCUUGGCUGUCACUCUGCACCUAUUAAUAUUUUUUUAAGU
Molecule: long non-coding RNA, 1483 nt
Filed under: Pongo abelii (Sumatran orangutan)
Lineage: Eukaryota; Metazoa; Chordata; Mammalia; Primates; Hominidae
Description: lncRNA (ENSPPYG00000034540.1)
Source: RNAcentral